Long non-coding RNA from Prinia subflava (tawny-flanked prinia), 1074 nucleotides. RefSeq lists it as uncharacterized. NCBI's taxonomy places the organism in Eukaryota, Metazoa, Chordata, Aves, Passeriformes, Cisticolidae. The transcript has 3 exons. The record is from RefSeq and is a predicted model, not a curated record.
ACUUUUCUGUUCUAAAGUAAAUCCUCUUUAGAUUCAAGAUCAUUUUGAUUAAUUAGAAGAUAAUUAUCCAUUUGCUGACUAAACAAUAGUUUCUUCUGUUGAAACCAAGCAAUAAUAUCUUCUUGCUCAUCAUCUUUCAUAUGCUGGCAGCAGAUCUUACGUACAUACUGAGAAAAAGGUUUGGUCCCUCUGGGAGUGCAUGCGGUGGAGGAAGCAAACGCGCUCAUUUGAGAAGGGUGAUUUCAAUGCUGCACACAUUACUUCAGGUAUGUGCAAGUCAAAUACCCACUGACCUGAGGCAGUCAUGGUUCAGACAGCCCAGCAUGGUUUCCUGCCUACUGUGACCUGGCAUAGCCCAGGACAGCGCGAGGUUUCUGGCCGCCACUGCUUCCCUAGGAGUGGAAACUUAAGGCUGGUGAUAAAAGGAAAGAAAUGUUGCCAUUCAGAGCUAGCUUCUUGAAAUCAUGAAACAAGAUUCCUUCUCAUGGGACAUCCCUGCAGGUUUUCUGGACUAUGAGACUUCAAAACGUCCAUCUGGGUCUUCUUGGCUGGCUGAUGGCACUGCAAGUAUCAAUUUUAUUCAGAAUCUGCAAGCUCAGGGAAGAUGCUUUUAGAGGCACCACAGAAAAUGUGUAUUCCAAAAACAUUUGUUUGUACUCUUGAGCUUUAGAGAAACAGAAAAUAUCAGUUUCCGUGUGACUCAGGUGGUCUGUGCAGGAAAGCUGCUGCAUGAGGUGCUGCAGGCUGUUGCUGAGUUCCCAGGCACUGAGGGGACCUUGUACUCCCACUGCCCACAGUAAGAAGAACAUGGUCUGUGCUGGAGAAGACCAGGCCUGCAACAGACAAAAAUAAAACUUUUGUUUUCCUAUUUCAUGAACUUCUACAAAAUUAAGAGUUCAGCCUUGAGAAAAUUACACUGGCAAAAUCUUCUCUGUUGUGAGCAGGAUCUUGCUGUCUUCACUCAAGAAGUUUCAUAUCCUGGCCCUAGCUUGCAUCGUUAAAGAAAUCUGGACAUUUCCUAGAAGCCUGAAGGUUUUUGGCUACUAGAAACGCUAGAGAUUUCCUCAUGCUAAG